UUUUUUUACGAUGGCACAAGCUGCUUCAGUUAAUGGUGCAGCAACGGCAGUAGUGAGUAAACCUCAGUCAGCAACUCCAGUAUCAUCAAACACUACACAGACGACAAAUGAUUAUGAUUUUUCCUCAUUAACACAAGGAAUGUUUGCAAAACCCUGA
Vicia faba (fava bean) is the source of this 157-nucleotide non-coding RNA. Lineage: Eukaryota; Viridiplantae; Streptophyta; Magnoliopsida; Fabales; Fabaceae. The record is from the annotation of a GenBank genome assembly.